GGAUUAGAUACCCUGGUAGUCCACGCAGUAAACGAUGUACACUAGGUGUAGCGGGUAUUAAAACUUGCUGUGCCGCAGUUAACACAUUAAGUGUACCGCCUGGGGAGUACGGUCGCAAGACUAAAACUCAAAGGAAUUGACGGGGGCCCGCACAAGCGGUGGAGCAUGUGGUUUAAUUCGACAACGCGAAGAACCUUACCUGGGUUUGACAUCCUGUGAAUCUGAUAGAGAUAUUGGAGUGCCUUCGGGAGCACAGAGACAGGUGCUGCAUGGCUGUCGUCAGCUCGUGCCG
This 292-nucleotide ribosomal RNA is filed under the name uncultured bacterium. Its description in RNAcentral is "partial 16S ribosomal RNA". It matches the Rfam family "Bacterial small subunit ribosomal RNA", at positions 775 to 1067 of the family's 1533-position model. The record is from RNAcentral.